GCUCGUAGGUGGUUUGUCGCGUUGUUCGUGAAAACUCACAGCUUAACUGUGGGCGUGCGGGCGAUACGGGCAGACUAGAGUACUGCAGGGGAGACUGGAAUUCCUGGUGUAGCGGUGGAAUGCGCAGAUAUCAGGAGGAACACCGGUGGCGAAGGCGGGUCUCUGGGCAGUAACUGACGCUGAGGAGCGAAAGCGUGGGGAGCGAACAGGAUUAGAUACCCUGGUAGUCCACGCCGUAAACGGUGGGUACUAGGUGUGGGUUUCCUUCCUUGGGAUCCGUGCCGUAGCUAACGCAUUAAGUACCCCGCCUGGGGAGUACGGCCGCAAGGCUAAAACUCAAAGAAAUUGACGGGGGCCCGCACAAGCGGCGGAGCAUGUGGAUUAAUUCGAUGCAACGCGAAGAACCUUACCUGGGUUUGACAUGCACAGGACGCCAGUAGAGAUAUUGGUUCCCUUGUGGCCUGUGUGCAGGUGGUGCAUGGCUGUCGUCAGCUCGUGUCGUGAGAUGUUGGGUUAAGUCCCGCAACGAGCGCAACCCUUAUCUUAUGUUGCCAGCGCGUAAUGGCGGGGACUCGUGAGAGACUGCCGGGGUCAACUCGGAGGAAGGUGGGGA
This 613-nucleotide ribosomal RNA is filed under the name uncultured bacterium. RNAcentral describes it as "bacterial SSU rRNA". It matches the Rfam family "Bacterial small subunit ribosomal RNA", at positions 567 to 1179 of the family's 1533-position model. The record is from RNAcentral.